Molecule: long non-coding RNA, 570 nt
Filed under: Pan paniscus (pygmy chimpanzee)
Lineage: Eukaryota; Metazoa; Chordata; Mammalia; Primates; Hominidae
Description: lncRNA (ENSPPAG00000044912.1)
Source: RNAcentral
GAACAGAGAGGAAGAACCCCAAACAGGCAGUAACAACCCCCAACAGGCAGAAACAACCCCGAACAGAGAGUAACGACCCUGAACAGAGAGGAACAACCCCGAACAGAGAGGAACAACCCCGAACAGGCAGGAACAACCCCGAACAGAGAGGAACAACCCCGAACAGACAGUAACAACCCGGAACAGAGAGUAACAACCCCGAAGAGAGAGGAACAACCCCGAAGAGAGAGGAACAACAAAGAACAGAGAGGAACAACCCGAACAGGCAGGAACAACACCGAACAGGUAGUAACAACCCCGAACAGGCAGGAACAACCCCAAACAGAGAGUAACAAUCUGGAACAGGCAGAAACAACCCCGAACAGGCAGGAACAACCCUGAACAGGCAGGAACAACCCCAAACAGAGAGUAACAACCCCAAACAGGCAGGAACAACUCCGAACAGAGAGGAACAACACCAAACAGGCAGUAACAACCCCAAACAGAGGGAAACAACCCUGAACAGACAGUAAUAACCCCGAACAGGCAGUAACAACCCAGAACAGGCAGUAACAAUCCCGAAGAGAAAGG